Molecule: long non-coding RNA, 1708 nt
Filed under: Mustela putorius furo (domestic ferret)
Lineage: Eukaryota; Metazoa; Chordata; Mammalia; Carnivora; Mustelidae
Description: lncRNA (ENSMPUG00000029250.1)
Source: RNAcentral
AUGACUUUAGACAAAAAUCACCAGAAGAAUUACCCAGGUCUUCUUCUCCUUGGUGAUCUCAAGCUUCCUGGGUGUCUUGGUUUUGGAACAUUUCUACUUUCAGUUCACUCUUUAAAAAUAAACUCAAAUAGACAUGUCCUCUCUUCCACACAAUUAAAUUCUAGUUUUCUACAUGCAUCUAAUCCAUACUUAGGAGAUAAGGAUAUUCCUGAAUUAAUGUCUUUCUGGUCUCAGGUAAGAGGUAUUUUCUCAUUGUUCUUAGCCCAAAGGAGCUACUACAAUGCUGAGAAUCUUGGCAUAGCUGUGGGAAGACGUACUAAGACAUGAAAUAAGUACAGGGUUUGUCACAUGACCUACGGUGACUAGUCGUGCAGGCUUUUGGAGAGUCAACCCAAUAUUUCUUAUAUGGUCCCUGAUUAUUUACUGUGUCUAGAAUGGAACUAUUUUUUAGUUCCAUUUUUUAGUUCUCAUGUUUAUUUUCAUCCUGAAAUAAAAGAAAAUUUAAAGACAGAAUAUGACUGUGUCAUUUAGAAUGACCCAAGUGGGAAACCACCUCAAAGUUUCACUUAUAAAGCAGAUGACUGUGUUAUACUUUUAAAGACUAGACUUUGUGGAACAAUCUAGUGUUCAGAAUGUAGAAGGCCUUGAGUUCUUGUGCUUGUGUUCCAUUUUGUCCUUCAGACCAGUCACUGGACAUUUUUCCUUACUGAGCUAAUUGUAUUUGCCACACACUGAUCAAAAUAAUUUCACAGCCUUUGGCUUAUUUUAAGAACUGAACAAAUGUGCUGAUUUGUAUAAAGAAGACAGAGCAGAGAACUUUCCUGGGAAAUGAGAGAUAUUUUGAAAACUGUCAUACUGAAGAUGACAGGGAGGCUUAAUUAGCUGAUGCUUGCAAAGUACUUUGAAAAUGAAACCAUGAUGUCCUUGCUAAGCAUGACGAAUACCAUUUAAUCUUGGAUCAGUAAAAAGUCAUAUAUUUUGAGACAUUCAGAUUUGGUGUGUGUGCUCUACGAAAUGCAAAUUGUUUUUUGUAAAAAGAACAAAUACAACUCUCGGUGAAAAAUGCAGAAAUAAGACAAAUUUUUGAAUACAAAGUUAUUAGUCUAGGGACUUCAAUAUGGAGAGUUGAUGUGAAAUUAGAUAAUGUUAUUUUGCCCAAAUUUGUGUGUCUAUUUAGAGGCAUCGGCAUAGCUGAGAGAACACUUGGUACUGAGUUAGAAGAUCUGAGUUCCAGAACUGAGCUGCCUUUGCCAGCCAAGAGACUUUUUGUCAAGUCACUGAUUUAUCUACAAAACAGAAAAAAAUAUAGUACCUCUCCUAUUUAUCUUCUAGGGUUGUUUUGAGACUCAAAUGUGAUCAUAUAGUCAUUUGGUGAUUUCACCUGUACAAAUGAAAUGAAGGAUAUCAUUUCUUUGAAACAUUCAUAAAGCAAAAAUGGCUUAAUAAGUCCAAUCAAUACUUUGCAGAGACUUUAAUUCAUCCCUUUUGAGUUCUUUCCUUUGCACCACUCUUUCUUUUUGUGAGCCUAGAGAGGUUAGGGAUGAGAGAUGAUGGAGAACUUUGAGGAGAAUCUUUUCCUUCUGUUAGAAACAGAGUGUCUCAUUAUCAAACUUUCAUGAGAACCUCAUCUGGAAUUUUAAAAGAUGACAGCUAGACUGAAUUUUAUAGGCGUGGCCUUUCGGGGGAAACCUAGGAUUUGAAAUUUCAA